UGAACGCUGGCGGCGUGCUUAACACAUGCAAGUCGAACGAACCUUCGGGUUAGUGGCGGACGGGUGAGUAACGCGUGAGAAUCUGCCCUCAGGAGGGGGAUAACGUAUUAAAACGGCUGCUAAUACCCCAUAUGCCGCGAGGUGAAAUGAAUUUCGCCUGAGGAUGAGCUCGCGUCUGAUUAGCUAGUUGGUGUAGGUAAUGGCUCACCAAGGCAUCGAUCAGUAGCUGGUCUGAGAGGAUGAUCAGCCACACUGGGACUGAGACACGGCCC
This 272-nucleotide ribosomal RNA is filed under the name uncultured bacterium. Its description in RNAcentral is "partial 16S ribosomal RNA". It matches the Rfam family "Bacterial small subunit ribosomal RNA", at positions 30 to 332 of the family's 1533-position model. The record is from RNAcentral.